AAAACUUCGACGAGAGAGAGAGAGAGAUGCAUAGGAGAGAGAGAGGGUUUUAGAGAGAGAAAGAUGGUUAGGGUUCGCGGUGGUGUUCUUCCGGUGCUGCUGGUGCUGGUAGCUUGCUUUGCAUUUUAGCAGCUUUUUGCUUCCGACGAUACGGUAUUUUACGAUUCGUUUGAUGGCACAUUUAAAGGCCGAUGGAUCGUUCUAGCAAAGAAGAGUACAAAGGCCCGUUCUUUCUUUCUAAUUGCACAAAUUCAUAAUUUCUGGAUUUCAAUCCUGCAACAUUUGAUUUCCCACCCGCAAUGGUUGUCACACCUGCAAACAAUUUGCAUUAGAAUUUCAGAAAUUGUUACACCUGUUUGGAAAAGCAGAAUUGAUUCAAUGAAGAAUGAUGUUGGACGUUUGAUACUUUAAUGUCAUUGCAGAUGUUAAUGUGGAUGUUAUUUCGGUUUUAAUGUUUAUGUUUAUUUUGGAUUUGGAAUAGCUCCUGUAAUCUAUCUGUGCAGAAGCUUGAAGCUUGAAGCAUCUCUUGUAAUUUUUGAAAACGUUUGUGCUGCUGCAUGCAGUUUUAUAAAAAUGUAUUUUUGAAAAAAAGAAAAAUAGAGUUGGACCCGUGGACCUGCCCCGGACCAGCCUGUUUGAAACGGGCUGGGUUAGGUCCGGUUCCAAAACUCAAAAUCUC
Non-coding RNA from Malus domestica (apple), 679 nucleotides. The record is from RefSeq and is a predicted model, not a curated record. Lineage: Eukaryota; Viridiplantae; Streptophyta; Magnoliopsida; Rosales; Rosaceae.